Podarcis lilfordi (Lilford's wall lizard) is the source of this 71-nucleotide non-coding RNA. Lineage: Eukaryota; Metazoa; Chordata; Lepidosauria; Squamata; Lacertidae. The record is from the annotation of a GenBank genome assembly.
AGCCCUAGCUUAGUGGUAGAGCAUCUGUUUUGCAUGCAGGAGGUCCCAGGUUCCAUCAGCAGGUAGAGUUA